GACGAACGCUGGCGGCGUGCUUAACACAUGCAAGUCGAACGAUGAACCGGAGCUUGCUCUGGGGAUUAGUGGCGAACGGGUGAGUAACACGUGGGCAACCUGCCCCAGACACCGGGAUAACCAUUCGAAAGGAUGGCUAAUACCGGAUACGACCACUUCGGGCAUCCGAUGGUGGUGGAAAGGAUUCUGGUCUGGGAUGGGCCCGCGGCCUAUCAGCUUGUUGGUGGGGUAAUGGCCUACCAAGGCGACGACGGGUAGCCGGCCUGAGAGGGCGACCGGCCACACUGGGACUGAGACACGGCCCAGACUCCUACGGGAGGCAGCAGUGGGGAAUAUUGCGCAAUGGGCGAAAGCCUGACGCAGCGACGCCGCGUGAGGGACGAAGGUCUUCGGAUUGUAAACCUCUUUUCAGCAGGGAUGAAGCGAAAGUGACAGUACCUGCAGAAGAAGCACCGGCUAACUACGUG
RNAcentral lists this ribosomal RNA (467 nucleotides) under uncultured bacterium. RNAcentral describes it as "bacterial SSU rRNA". It matches the Rfam family "Bacterial small subunit ribosomal RNA", at positions 28 to 507 of the family's 1533-position model. The record is from RNAcentral.